RNAcentral lists this ribosomal RNA (161 nucleotides) under uncultured bacterium. Its description in RNAcentral is "partial 16S ribosomal RNA". It matches the Rfam family "Bacterial small subunit ribosomal RNA", at positions 1339 to 1500 of the family's 1533-position model. The record is from RNAcentral.
UAAUGGCAGGUCAGCAUACUGCCGUGAAUACGUUCCCGGGCCUUGUACACACCGCCCGUCACACCAUGAGAGUUGGAGAUACCCGAAGCCUAUGAGCUAACUUUUAGAGGCAGUAGUCGAAGGUAGAAUCAAUGAUUGGGGUGAAGUCGUAACAAGGUACC